GUUGUCGGAUUCACUUUAAUUCACGUGUGUUGGUGUGGAUUGGGGUGAAGUUUAGUUCAAAUUUUACUCCAGUCCACCUCAACACAUGUGGAUUGAUAUGAAUCCGACU
Molecule: microRNA precursor, 109 nt
Organism: Sorghum bicolor (sorghum)
Lineage: Eukaryota; Viridiplantae; Streptophyta; Magnoliopsida; Poales; Poaceae
Rfam family: MIR5565 microRNA precursor family
Source: Rfam